RNAcentral lists this ribosomal RNA (273 nucleotides) under uncultured bacterium. RNAcentral describes it as "partial 16S ribosomal RNA". It matches the Rfam family "Bacterial small subunit ribosomal RNA", at positions 524 to 796 of the family's 1533-position model. The record is from RNAcentral.
UACGUAGGGGGCUAGCGUUGUCCGGAAUCAUUGGGCGUAAAGCGCGUGUAGGCGGUCCGGUAAGUCCGCUGUGAAAGUCGGGGGCUCAACCCUCGGAUGCCGGUGGAUACUGUCGGGCUUGAGUACGGAAGAGGCGAGUGGAAUUCCUGGUGUAGCGGUGAAAUGCGCAGAUAUCAGGAGGAACACCAAUUGCGAAGGCAGCUCGCUGGGACGUUACUGACGCUGAGACGCGAAAGCGUGGGGAGCAAACAGGAUUAGAAACCCCCGUAGUCC